GACGAACGCUGGCGGCGUGCUUAACACAUGCAAGUCGUACGGUAAGGCCCUUUCGGGGGUCCACGAGUGGCGCACGGGUGAGUAACACGUGAGUAACCUGCCCACAACUUUGGGAUAACGCUAGGAAACUGGUGCUAAUACUGGAUAUGUCUCCUGCUGCAUGGUGGGGGUUGGAAAGCUCCGGCGGUUGUGGAUGGACUCGCGGCCUAUCAGCUUGUUGGUGGGGUAGUGGCCUACCAAGGCGGCGACGGGUAGCCGGCCUGAGAGGGUGACCGGCCACAUUGGGACUGAGAGACGGCCCAGACGCCGACGGGAGGCAGCAGUGGGGAAUAUUGCACAAGGGGCGCAAGCCGGAUGCAGCAACGCCGCGUGCGGGAUGACGGCCUUCGGGUUGUAAACCGCUUUCAGCAGGGACGAAGCUUUUUGUGACGGUACCUGCAGAAGAAGCACCGGCUAACUACGUG
This 464-nucleotide ribosomal RNA is filed under the name uncultured bacterium. RNAcentral describes it as "partial 16S ribosomal RNA". It matches the Rfam family "Bacterial small subunit ribosomal RNA", at positions 28 to 507 of the family's 1533-position model. The record is from RNAcentral.